UGGCGGACGGGUGAGUAACGCGUGGGUAACCUGCCUUAUACAGGGGGAUAACAGUUAGAAAUGACUGCUAAUACCGCAUAAGCGCACAGUACUGCAUGGUACAGUGUGAAAAACUCCGGUGGUAUAAGAUGGACCCGCGUCUGAUUAGCCAGUUGGCGGGGUAACGGCCCACCAAAGCGACGAUCAGUAGCCGACCUGAGAGGGUGACCGGCCACAUUGGGACUGAGACACGGCCCAAACUCCUACGGAAGGCAGCAG
Molecule: ribosomal RNA, 258 nt
Filed under: uncultured bacterium
Lineage: Bacteria
Description: partial 16S ribosomal RNA
Rfam family: Bacterial small subunit ribosomal RNA
Source: RNAcentral